RNAcentral lists this transfer RNA (78 nucleotides) under Chloroflexota bacterium. RNAcentral's name for it is "Chloroflexi bacterium (aquatic metagenome) tRNA-Pro". It matches the Rfam family "tRNA". From Rfam's summary of the family: Transfer RNA (tRNA) molecules are approximately 80 nucleotides in length. Their secondary structure includes four short double-helical elements and three loops (D, anti-codon, and T loops). RNAcentral also lists the same sequence under 1 other name. The record is from RNAcentral. Lineage: Bacteria; Bacillati; Chloroflexota.
CGGGGAGUAGCGCAGCCUGGUUAGCGCGCCGUCUUCGGGAGGCGGAGGCCGGAGGUUCGAAUCCUCUCUCCCCGACCA